UACGAAGGGGGCGAGCGUUGUUCGGAUUUACUGGGCGUAAAGGGCGCGUAGGCGGCGGGUCAAGUCGAGUGUGAAAGCCCCGGGCUCAACCUGGGAGGUGCGCUCGAGACUGGUCUGCUAGAGUUCGGGAGAGGAGCGUGGAAUUCCCAGUGUAGAGGUGAAAUUCGUAGAUAUUCGCAAGAACACCAGUGGCGAAGGCGGCUCACUGGCCCGAUACUGACGCUGAGGUGCGAAAGCGUGGGGAGCAAACAGG
RNAcentral lists this ribosomal RNA (253 nucleotides) under uncultured bacterium. RNAcentral's name for it is "partial 16S ribosomal RNA". It matches the Rfam family "Bacterial small subunit ribosomal RNA", at positions 524 to 776 of the family's 1533-position model. The record is from RNAcentral.